GUGCUGGACUGGGUAGCAAAUAUACUAAAUUUGGAAUAUUAUGGAGAAAAUUCGCAUGGCCCCUGUAUAAGAAUAACAUGCAAAUUUAUGAUGUGUCUCAUAUAUUU
Molecule: small nuclear RNA, 107 nt
Organism: Ochotona princeps (American pika)
Lineage: Eukaryota; Metazoa; Chordata; Mammalia; Lagomorpha; Ochotonidae
Source: Ensembl